GAAGUUUUUAAAAUAUAAAGUUGUCAACUUUAAGUAGUCUUCA
RNAcentral lists this transfer RNA (43 nucleotides) under Asotana magnifica. RNAcentral's name for it is "tRNA-Asp". Lineage: Eukaryota; Metazoa; Arthropoda; Malacostraca; Isopoda; Cymothoidae. The record is from RNAcentral.